Molecule: ribosomal RNA, 440 nt
Filed under: uncultured bacterium
Lineage: Bacteria
Description: partial 16S ribosomal RNA
Rfam family: Bacterial small subunit ribosomal RNA
Source: RNAcentral
CCUACGGGAGGCAGCAGUGGGGAAUAUUGCACAAUGGGGGAAACCCUGAUGCAGCGACGCCGCGUGAGUGAAGAAGUAAUUUGUUAUGUAAAGCUCUAUCAGCAGGGAAGAAAAUAACGGUACCUGAGUAAGAAGCCCCGGCUAACUACGUGCCAGCGACCGCGGUAAUACGUAGGGGGCAAGCGUUAGCCGGAUUUGCUGGGUGUAAAGGGAGCGUAGGCGGCAGUGCAAGUCUGGGGUGAAAGGCGGGGGCUCAACCCCCGGACUGCUCUGGAAACUGCACGGCUGGAGUGAAGGAGAGGGAAGUGGAAGUCCUAGUGUAGCGGUGAAAUGCGUAGAUAUCAGGAGGAACACCAGUGGCGAAGGCGGCUUACUGGACUGUAACUGACGUUGAGGCACGAAAGCGUGGGGAGCAAAAAGGAUUAGAUACCCCAGUAGUC